GACGAACGCUGGCGGCGUGCCUAAUACAUGCAAGUAGAACGCACAGUUUAUACCGUAGCUUGCUACACCAUAGACUGUGAGUUGCGAACGGGUGAGUAACGCGUAGGUAACCCGCCUGGUAGCGGGGGAUAACUAUUGGAAACGAUAGCUAAUACCGCAUAAUAUUAAUUAUUGCAUGAUAAUUAAUUGAAAGGUGCAAUUGCACCACUACCAGAUGGACCUGCGUUGUAUUAGCUAGUAGGUGAGGUAACGGCUCACCUAGGCGACGAUACAUAGCCGACCUGAGAGGGUGAUCGGCCAAACUGGGACUGAGACACGGCCCAGACUCCUACGGGAGGCAGCAGUAGGGAAUCUUCGGCAAUGGACGAAAGUCUGACCGAGCAACGCCGCGUGAGUGAAGAAGGUUUUCGGAUCGUAAAGCUCUGUUGUAAGAGAAGAACGGGUGUGAGAGUGGAAAGUUCACACUGUGACGGUAUCUUACCAGAAAGGGACGGCUAACUACGUG
This 505-nucleotide ribosomal RNA is filed under the name uncultured bacterium. RNAcentral's name for it is "partial 16S ribosomal RNA". It matches the Rfam family "Bacterial small subunit ribosomal RNA", at positions 28 to 507 of the family's 1533-position model. The record is from RNAcentral.